UACAGAGGUGGUAAGCGUUGUUCGGAAUUACUGGGCGUAAAGGGCUCGUAGGUGGCCAAUUAAGUCAGACGUGAAAUCCCCAGGCUUAACCUGGGAACUGCGUCCGAUACUGGUUGGCUUGAAUCCGGGAGAGGGAUGUGGAAUUCCAGGUGUAGCGGUGAAAUGCGUAGAUAUCUGGAGGAACACCGGUGGCGAAGGCGACAUCCUGGACCGGUAUUGACGCUGAGGCGCGAAAGCCAGGGGAGCAAACGGG
RNAcentral lists this ribosomal RNA (253 nucleotides) under uncultured bacterium. RNAcentral describes it as "partial 16S ribosomal RNA". It matches the Rfam family "Bacterial small subunit ribosomal RNA", at positions 524 to 776 of the family's 1533-position model. The record is from RNAcentral.